AGCCCGGUAGAGUGGAUUUUAUUAUCGCCGAAUGUAGUGGCCAAGCAUAGAGGCCUUUGGAGCCUUUGACCCCAGUUCGAAUCUGGGCCGGGCUA
RNAcentral lists this transfer RNA (95 nucleotides) under Nitrososphaeraceae archaeon. RNAcentral's name for it is "tRNA-Gln". The stretch from base 31 to 87 matches the Rfam family "tRNA", at positions 9 to 63 of the family's 71-position model. From Rfam's summary of the family: Transfer RNA (tRNA) molecules are approximately 80 nucleotides in length. Their secondary structure includes four short double-helical elements and three loops (D, anti-codon, and T loops). RNAcentral also lists the same sequence under 1 other name. Lineage: Archaea; Thermoproteati; Nitrososphaerota; Nitrososphaeria; Nitrososphaerales; Nitrososphaeraceae. The record is from RNAcentral.